RNAcentral lists this ribosomal RNA (253 nucleotides) under uncultured bacterium. RNAcentral describes it as "partial 16S ribosomal RNA". It matches the Rfam family "Bacterial small subunit ribosomal RNA", at positions 524 to 776 of the family's 1533-position model. The record is from RNAcentral.
UACGAAGGGGGCGAGCGUUGUUCGGAAUCACUGGGCGUAAAGGGCGCGUAGGCGGCCCUCUUAGUCGCGUGUGAAAGCCCCGGGCUCAACCUGGGAACGGCGCGCGAAACGGGAUGGCUUGAGGUUGGGAGAGGGAUGCGGAAUUCCAGGUGUAGCGGUGAAAUGCGUAGAUAUCUGGAGGAACACCGGUGGCGAAGGCGGCAUCCUGGACCAAUUCUGACGCUGAGGAGCGAAAGCCAGGGGAGCAAACGGG